This 468-nucleotide ribosomal RNA is filed under the name uncultured bacterium. Its description in RNAcentral is "partial 16S ribosomal RNA". It matches the Rfam family "Bacterial small subunit ribosomal RNA", at positions 28 to 507 of the family's 1533-position model. The record is from RNAcentral.
GACGAACGCUGGCGGCGUGCUUAACACAUGCAAGUCGAACGGAAAGGCCCUGCUUUUGUGGGGUGCUCGAGUGGCGAAGGGGUGAGUAACACGUGAGUAACCUGCCCUUGACUUUGGGAUAACUUCAGGAAACUGGGGCUAAUACCGGGUAGGAGCUCCUGCUGCAUGGGGGGGGUUGGAAAGUUUCGGCGGUUGGGGAUGGAUUCGCGGCUUAUCCGCUUGUUUGUGGGGUAGUGGCUUACCAAGGGUUUGACGGGUAGCCGGCCUGAGAGGGUGACCGGCCACAUUGGGACUGAGGUACGGCCCAGAAGCCUACGGGAGGCAGCAGUGGAGAAUAUUGCACAAUGGGCGGAAGCCUGAUGCAGCGACGCCGGGUGCGGGAAGACCGCCUACGGGUUGUGAACCGCUUUCGCAUGUGACGAAGCGUGAGUGACGGUAAUGGGUAAAGAAGCACCGGCUAACUACGUG